Parathielavia hyrcaniae is the source of this 86-nucleotide non-coding RNA. The record is from the annotation of a GenBank genome assembly. NCBI's taxonomy places the organism in Eukaryota, Fungi, Ascomycota, Sordariomycetes, Sordariales, Chaetomiaceae.
GGCUGUGUGGCCCAGCGGUUAAGGCAUCUGCUUUACAUACGUGAUAGUAUCGCAGAGGAUCGCAGGUUCGAUCCCUGCCACGGUCA